RNAcentral lists this long non-coding RNA (210 nucleotides) under Cricetulus griseus (Chinese hamster). Its description in RNAcentral is "lncRNA (ENSCGRG00000024239.1)". Lineage: Eukaryota; Metazoa; Chordata; Mammalia; Rodentia; Cricetidae. The record is from RNAcentral.
AUGUCCUAUUUAUCCUCGAGCAACCACUUAAGAUGUGAAGCAGAGAAUAUUGGUGUACUCUGGCAUUUGAUGUCACCAGGUAGCAUACCCUCGGCUGAUGUUCAGAUGACACUCUGCAUUCCUUCCCGAGAAGAGCAGCCUGACAGUCAAAGUAUACAAUUAGGAGCAGGGGCAGGAUCUUCCACAGACACUCAAAUCCCAAGGACUUAG